This 8094-nucleotide long non-coding RNA is filed under the name Populus trichocarpa (black cottonwood). Its description in RNAcentral is "long non-coding RNA (PTRI_LNC001605)". Lineage: Eukaryota; Viridiplantae; Streptophyta; Magnoliopsida; Malpighiales; Salicaceae. The record is from RNAcentral.
UUUCUGCCACCAUCAUGUCUGAAUAUGCUAACAAGAAGACUCGUGGCGCCUUCAUUGCUGCAGUUUUUGCAAUGCAAGGUUUUGGAAUUUUGGCUGGUGGAAUAUUUGCUAUAAUUAUAUCAUCUGCAUUUAAGGCCGGGUUUGAUGCUCCAUCUUACGAGGUUGAUCCAAUUCGCUCAACUGUCCCACAAGCUGACUACGUUUGGCGUAUAAUUGUAAUGGUUGGAGCGCUUCCCGCUGCACUUACCUACUACUGGAGGAUGAAGAUGCCUGAAACUGCCCGUUACACUGCACUUGUCGCCAAGAACGCAAAACAGGCUGCGACUGAUAUGUCAAGAGUUCUGCAGGUGGAUCUUGAGGCGGAAGAGCAGAAGGUCGAGCAACUGACCGAGGACAAGUCCAAUCAAUUUGGUCUGUUCACAAAAAAGUUCCUUCAUCGCCAUGGACUCCACUUGCUUGGAACAACAACCACAUGGUUCUUGCUUGACAUUGCAUUCUACAGCCAAAAUCUUUUCCAAAAGGAUAUAUUUAGCGCGAUCGGAUGGAUUCCCAAAGCAAAGACCAUGAAUGCCAUCGAUGAGGUUUAUAGAAUUGCAAGGGCGCAAACACUUAUCGCUCUAUGCAGUACUGUCCCAGGUUACUGGUUCACAGUGGCUUUUAUUGACAGGAUAGGAAGGUUUGCAAUCCAAUUGAUGGGUUUCUUCUUCAUGACAGUGUUCAUGUUUGCGUUGGCCAUUCCUUACAACCACUGGACCCACAAGGACAACCGAAUUGGAUUCGUGAUUAUAUACUCAUUGACCUUCUUCUUUGCAAACUUUGGACCUAAUGCCACCACAUUUGUUGUACCAGCCGAGAUCUUCCCUGCAAGGUUAAGGUCCACUUGCCACGGUAUAUCAGCAGCUUCUGGGAAGCUCGGAGCAAUUGUGGGUGCAUUCGGGUUCCUAUAUUUGUCUCAGAGCCCGCACAAGGACAAGACCGAUGCAGGGUACCCUACAGGUAUCGGUGUGAAGAAUUCACUCCUUGUCCUGGGUGUCGUCAACUUCUUCGGCAUAGUGUUUACUUUCUUGGUCCCUGAAUCAAAUGGAAAAUCCUUGGAGGAGAUGUCUGGUGAGAAUGAGACUGAUGAGGGGUCGGUGCCAAAUGUGGAGCAAAGUUCAUAUAACAGGACAGUACCGUUGGUUUAAAUUUUUUCUUUAUCCAGUUCUCUAUUACAGGUUAGCUAAACCCUUGAUAGAUUUCUCAAUAUACCUCUAUUGUUAUCGUUUGUCUUCUCCCCCUGCUCUGUCUUCCUCAGCCUUGUAAGUUACCGAGUAAAUCAGGUCUCUUUUAUGUCACUUCAACUUGCUGAGAUGUCAAAAGAGGUUUACAUUGUUGAAACGCUAUUGUGAUGAUGAGUUUUAGCUUUUGCAUUCCAAUCGAUUCUAACCACAUGGACAUAUCCUCCAUUUCCUUAGCUUAUUUUGAUUUCUUGCAUCUUUCUUGUUUUUUUCUGCGGUGUCCUCGAAAGUGAGGUGUGAAUGAUUCCAUACUUUAGCAGUUUAGCUGGACCACCGUUUUGAUAUAGACAUGCACUAGGGUUCAAAAGUCAAUUCCUAAUAUUUUCGCAGGUGGAAAAAAAGAACUAAGAAAGAAAACUCAUUCCGAGAAUUAGGGGCGUUUCAUAAGACCUUUCUUUAAAUUUUAAUUUUCUUUAAAAAAUAUUUUUUUAAUAUAAUUUUUUUUAAAAAUAAAACAUUUAAAAAACAAUCAUCAUCCCUCUUAAAUUAGCAUUUUAUUUUUCCAAGUAAUUGCCAUCACCUACUUGUACACCCCCGAUUUCUUUGCCAUCACCUACUUGUACACCCCCAUUUUUUUGACUUUGAAAUUUGAUCAACCUAUCUAUGCAAGAGUAAUUGCGAGGCAAUGAUCCAAACCUUUACAGGGUGACCACUUGAACGAAAACUCUGAAGACCCUUUAAUUCCUCCCUGGAACACGUCAAUUUCUUUCUCCAAACUACUACCUCUUUGCCUCAUGAGGAGUUAACGAAACUUCGUUUUACUAAAGUUGCUUCCAUGUGUGUGUGUUCGUGUUGAAAAAGACUUUCCCUAUAUUUACCGACGACUUAACAGUUAAGAGCCAGCCAGCCAGCAGCAUCUGAGCAUCAAUUAUGGCACAAGUACCAGGAAUUACGUGUGAAUCGUGAACCACCUUCACCAUUUAAGAACCUUUGACUCAUUUCCAGAAUCUAACAAGACAAGCUACAUAGCUUUCAGUAGCCGAAAACUCUUAAUGAUGACUUGCAAAAGGUUCAUACUUGCCUAACCUGUUAGGUAGUUUGAUUCUUUCAUGUUAUAAAUCUGACCUGAACUCUUUAAAAUGCACUUGGAAUUCUCAGAAACAAAGUCUAAAUGAAAUGGAAAUGACUCCAUGGUCAUGUGGAAUUUAGGAGGCAUAUUUUUAUUUAUUUAUUUAUUAUUAUUUGAGAACAUUCCCACAUAAUUAUAAUUGCUAUUUCGAAGAAAUUUAAAAAUCUUAAUUUGAUAAUUAUAAAAUUGAUGUAAUUUAAAUGAUGUAGUGCAAUAGAACUAACAUAUGGAAAUAAAAAUCUUAAUUGUCAACUUUAAUUGCACGUGUAAUCUGUCCCUUGACGUUAAUGGGUGAAAAUAUUGGCAUCAAUGUCACUAAUUAAAAAUUAAAAUACAAAUACAUACAUAAUCGCCAUGAAACUACGCCUUAGUUUUCCUUUCGCAUAAAUUUCAAGCCACAAAAUCUCCCUAUGAACUGCCCACAAUCCAGAGUCUUGAAACACAAAUAGUAUCAAAUCUAUGGAAUGGAAUGGAAUUAGUUCUUUCAUGUCCUUUUUAAUAUAAUUCAUCAUUUUUUUAACCUAAACCUUCCAAAAUAAAUGAAUAGUUAACAUUUUAGUAGUUAAUAUUUACUUAAUUAAACAUUAAAAUUAAGCGUUUUGAAUUAACACUUACCUUUUAUAUACAAUUUUUAAUUUUUUAAUAGAUAUCUCAAGCAUUAAAAAUUAAGCGUUUUGAAUUAACACUUACCUUUUAUAUACAAUUUUUAAUUUUUUAAUAGAUAUCUCAAGCAUUAAAAAUCUUAGAAAUACUCAUAUUAUCUGAAUAAUUGACAAUAUAAACAUUACUAUUGAUUAUUUUUUUCAGUAUAUUGUAAGGUCCAUACUUUUUACCUAAUUAACACUUACCUUUUUCUUAGAAUCUAGAAAUGAUAAAGCUUCUUUUUUUUUGUCAUUAAUUCGAUAAGAAACAAGAGAUCAAGUCUUAUGGUUAUAACUUGUAUAUAGUUUUCAUGAAUUAAGAAUUUGAACAGCCCCUUACAUUAAUUAAUUGAUAUUAUUUUUAAAAAAUAAUUUAAAAAACGCACAUUCAUUUGUGUACCAAAAAAUAAAUUCUCUAUAUUCAAUUCAUAAUUGUAUCGAGUCUAUGGCUAUGCAACUUUAUUCUCUUUCUCUUCUGUAAAUUGAUUGGGAUGAUGUAAGAGGCUAACAGAACAAUGAUAUAAACAAAUAAAUGUGUUUGUUUUCUAGAAAGUAAUUUUUGAAAAAUCACUUUUCAAACUUUCAUGUGUUUGUUUGUUAUUAAAAAGAUUGGUCAAUGGAAAACACUUUCUCGUCAAAGGAAAAUUUAACUUAAUUUUCAGGAAAGUGUUUUUUUUUUAUUUUGGGCGGAAAACACUUUCCAGAAGUUGUGAAUAAUUUAAAAAUAUCAUAUUAUUUGCUGAUUAUAUCAAAUUUGGUCCUCAAACUUUUGAUUGCUAUAUAUUUUAUUUGAAUCUUUUUUUUUUCAAAUUCAUCCCUUAAAAUUUGAUUUUUUUUAUUAACUUUGGUCCUUAUUUUUAUGAUUGUUAUUUACUUUUCUCUUAUCAUUUUUUUAAAUUGAAUUUUUUUAUCUAUAAAAUUUGAUCCUCAUUAUUUUGAUUGUUACUUAUUUUAUUUAAAAUAAUUUAUAAAAUUGUAAUUAUUAUUAUUUUAAUUUCAUCAUCUUUCAAUUUUUUUAUCUGGUAGAUUUGAUCUCUAUUAUUUUGAUUAUUAUUUAUUUUAUUUGAGAUAAUUUAUGAAAUUAGAUUUUUUUCAAUUCCAUUCUCAUUCAACUUUUUAAUUUGUAAGAUUUGUUCCUUAUUAUUUUAAUAAACUUGAAAAAAAAACAUUAAUAAUCUAUUUUCCAGCUCAUUUUCUAUAACAUAACCAAACACUGGAAAAUAUUUUCCAACUUACUUUCUAUGACACUACCAAACAUCGGAAAAUAAUUUACUUUUCUGGAAUUCAUUUUAUAAGGAAACCACUUUCCAAAAAAUAACUACUUUCCUGCAAACAAAUGGGGCAAAAAAAAAAGAAAUUGUUUUGUUGAUUCUGUGUGUGAGUGUUUAUAUAUAUACGAGAUGACAUGUCCGUGCGUUGCCGCGGGCUUAUAAAACAAACGCACUUGGUAGUGUUAUAAUUGUAAACCAGCAUUAGAUAAGUAAUAGAAACUAAAGGUAUGAUGGAGCAAAUAUUUCAUGAUGGAAAAAAAAAGGUUGUGUUGGUGAUCAAAAACUUAGAGACUGAACAAAAUGAUUUGUAGCAAUUCAUAGUGUUUUGUAAGGAAAGAUACAGUGUUUUUGCUACAUCAUUUAGCUUUUCUGUUAAUAACAAGAAAAAAAAUUACAAAGCUAAAUUCUCUAUCAACUUAAUAUUAAAAAAAAAACCAACAAAGAUAAUUUUGGAAGGAAAAAAACCCAUGAGAAAAAAUGUUGUAGCAAUUGACAAUGUUUUGUGAAGAAAAAUACAGUGUUUUCCCCAAUAAAAUAAAAUAAAAAACUAUUUAAAGAAAUACUGUAGCAAUCCAUAGUGUUUUGUGAGAAAAACUACAACGCUUUUCCCAUAUGAUUUAGCUUUAUUGUAAUUAUAAUUCUUAACCAACUCAAUAUUUUAAAAAAAAAUCGACAAAGAUAAUUUUAAAAAAAUCACAAAAAAAUCAUAUGGGAAAACACUACAACAAUUGACAGUGUUUUAAAGAAAAAAAUUACAAAGCUAAAUUCUUAAUCAGCUAAAUAUUAAAAAAAAAUCGACAGAGAUAAUUUUAGAAAAAAAAUAAUAAAAAAAGGGGAGGAAUCAUGUUGGAAACACUGUAGCAAUUCAUAGUGUUUUGUGAUGAAAGCUACAAUGCUUCCCCACAUGAUUUAGCCUUAUUUGUAAUUGUAAUUCUCAAACAGCUCAAUAUUAAAAAAAUAAAAUUGAUAAAGGUAAUUUUGAAAAAAAUUAUAAGAAAAAAAAACCAUGUGGAGAGCCACUGUAGCAAUCCACAAUGUUUUGUAAGGAAAGCUACAGUGAUUUCCCAACAUGAUUAAGCUUUAUUACAAAGUUAAAUUCUAACCAACUCAAUAUUAAAAAAAUAAAAUCGACGAAGAUAAUUUUGAAAAAAAAUAUUACAAAAAAUGAAAACACAAAAGAAACUGGGAAAAAACCAUGUGACGAAAAACUGUAUCAAUCCAUAGUGUUUUGUGAGGAAAAACUUGUAUUUACUUGUAAUUGCAAUUCUUAACCAACUUAAUAUUUAAAAAAUAAAAUUGACACAGACAAUUUUAGAAAAAAAACCAUGUGGAAAAAAACAUUGUAGUAAUCCAUAGUAAUCUGCGAGGAAAGUUACAGUGAUUUCCUCACAUAUUGUAACUGUAACUUUUAACCAGCUAAAUAUUAAAAAAUAAAAUAAAAAAAGAUAAUUUAGGAGAAAAUCAUAAAAAAACAAAAAAAAACAACCAUGCGGAGAAACAUUGUAUCAAUCAAUAAUGUUUUAAAGAAAAAAUAUUACCAAACUAAAUUCUCAAUCAGCUCAAUAUUAAAAAAAAUUGACAAAUAUAAUUUUGAAAAAUAAAAAAAUAAAAUAGAAAAACUAUGUAGGAAAAAACCGCAGGAAUCCACAGUAUUUCAAAGAGAAAAAAUUACAUAGUGAAAUUUUUAAUCAGCUCAAUAUUUAAAAAGCAAAAUCAACAAAAAUAAAGAGGAGAAAGUUAGGAAAAAAAUAACAAAAAAAAAAGAAGAGAAAUACACUGUGAAUUACUGUUGUUGUAAUCCACGGUGUUUUGUAUGUGGGGUAACAGUGAUUCCCAACACCAUUUAGAUAUUAAUUAAUAUAUAUAUUACAUUCAAAUUAAGGAUAGUCACAUCAUAAACAAUAAUAGCACAUGUUACAUGAUGGCCCUCUUUUUUGGUGGGGAGGCCCGUUCUAGUUGCUUGUCUGUGUAGUUACAGGUAAGAAGUGCAACGAGUGAUUUUUAUUUUUAUUUUGUUAUAAUUUGUUUUUUUAAUUGUUUUUUAUAUAAAAAAAUAUCAAAUUGAUAUUUUUAUAUGUUUUUUAAUAAAUUUAAUAUGUUAAUGAUAAAAAAAAAUUUAAAAAGUUAUAAUAUAGUUUCAAUUAAAAAGUAUUAUCCACAAAAUUAUCAAGAAGACACUGAUAAUAAUCAAAUUACAGCAAACAAAAAUUGGAACCAAAUUAUUAAUCAUUGUCCAUCCCUUACCUGCCAGACCAUUUUUAAGAGAUAUGUCCAUACUGUUGACCAACCACAUGGGAUGACUAGAAUGUUUCAUUGUCACCCUCCUACUCUCACCAGGGCUGUUGCUUUGACUCGUGCAAGCUAGGAGAAAGAGAAGUCAUGGCUAUGGACCUCUGUUCAUGGUGAUUGUCUCAACAUACUUCGAGUGGUUGAUAAUUUUAAUUUAGUUAUAGAAAAAAAAUUCAACUUAACUGAAAUCUAUAUAACUUGAAAUAAGGGAACCAAACCUCUACAAUUGCUCAACACUCUUGUGACUUUCACUAAAAUUAAUAAACCACAAAUUCUAUAAUAAUAAUAAUAAUAAUAAUAAUAAUUGAAGAAGAAGAAGAAGAAGACGACUUUUUUUAGUUCGAAUAAUAGUUGUAGCCAACGAAAUAGAGGUAAGGUUAUCAUUGUAGGUGUAAAAGGGAUGAACAUAAACGCAACGUAAAUGAAAAAGGUUAUUGACCGAGGAAAGAGGGCGGGCGAAAAGAGGGGGGGAAUAUGCCCGUGGUAUAUUUGCCUGCCUUUGAUGCUUUAAGGGGUGCUCGUCGCUUAUAUAUUCAAGAAACACCAUCUUUCUUGAACCAAACGAGCUUCUUUAUCAAUUUCUUUCUUUCUAGCUUCUUCUCUCCCUCUUUUUUGUCCCUUUUUCUCACAAAACUCUGGUGAAGAGUUUUGCAGAGAAAAGAGAGAGCAAGGAAAGGCAUUUUCCUACAUAAGCUAGGUAGUCAUGGCCAGGGAAUUACAGGUUCUCAAUGCGCUUGAUGUGGCAAAAACACAAUGGUAUCACUUCACUGCAAUUAUUAUUGCUGGCAUGGGAUUCUUCACCGAUGCCUAUGACCUCUUCUGCAUAUCCCUUGUCACCAAAUUGCUUGGCCGCAUAUAUUACCAUGUUGAUGGAGCAGAGAAGCCUGGUAUUUUGCCUCCCAAUGUAUCGGCAGCUGUUAAUGGUGUGGCGUUCUGUGGAACUCUUUCGGGCCAGCUCUUCUUUGGCUGGCUUGGUGACAAAAUGGGAAGGAAGAAAGUGUAUGGUAUGACUCUUAUGCUCAUGGUCAUAUGUUCGAUUGCCUCGGGUCUUUCUUUUAGCCGUGAUGCUAAGGCUGUCAUGUCGACCCUUUGCUUCUUUCGUUUCUGGCUUGGGUUUGGUAUUGGAGGUGACUAUCCACUUUCUGCCACCAUCAUGUCUGAAUAUGCUAACAAGAAGACUCGUGGCGCCUUCAUUGCUGCAGUUUUUGCUAUGCAAGGUUUUGGAAUUUUGACAGGUGGGAUAUUUGCUAUAAUUAUAUCAUCUGCAUUUAAGGCCAGGUUUGAUGCUCCAGCUUACCAGGUUGAUGCACUUGCCUCAACUGUUCCACAAGCUGACUACGUUUGGCGUAUAAUUCUAAUGGUUGGAGCGCUUCCCGCUGCACUUACCUACUACUGGAGGAUGAAGAUGCCUGAAACUGCCCGUUACACUGCACUUGUCGCCAAGAAUGCAAAACAGGCUGCGACUGAUAUGUCAAGAGUUCUGCAGGUGGAUCUUGAGGCGGAAGAGCAGAAGGUCGAGCAACUGACCGAGGACAAGUCCAAUCAAU